This 406-nucleotide ribosomal RNA is filed under the name uncultured bacterium. Its description in RNAcentral is "partial 16S ribosomal RNA". It matches the Rfam family "Bacterial small subunit ribosomal RNA", at positions 30 to 526 of the family's 1533-position model. The record is from RNAcentral.
AUUGAACGCUGGCGGCAGGCUUAACACAUGCAAGUCGAGCGAGCGGAGAACGGGUGAGUAAUGUCUGGGACACUGCAUGAUGGAUGGGGAUAACUACUGGAAACGUUCGCUAAUACCGCAUACCUUCAGAUGUGCCCAGAGGGGAUUAGCGAGUAGGUGGUGUAAUGGCUCACCUAGGCGACGAUCCCUAGCUGGUCUGAGAGGAUGACCUGGCAAGCUGGAGCUGAGACACGGACCAGGAGCGUUCGGUAGUCGGCAGGGGGGAAGAUUGCACAGUGGGUGAAAAUCUGAUGCAGCCAAGCCGCGUGGGUGAAGAAGGCCUUCAUGUUGUAAAGCACUUUUAGCGUGUAGGCGUUACUCGUUUAAGAAGCACCGGCUGACUCCGUGCCAGCAGCCGCGGUAAUUC